GGUCACUUUACCAGAACCGGGCCCCUUGUUUGAUGAGGCAGAUACACUUGUGUGGGAUUCGGACGAUGAUGUGGUGGUUAUAAAUUUAAAACAUGUUGAUGAGGAUGUCACACAGAGCACAGAGGUGGGUGGAGCACCUACACAGGUGAUACAGCUUCUACUCCCUUCAGGUGAUGGCCUACCUACACUGGAUGAGCAGCAGUCCAUACACGAGGAAGCAGCACAAACUGCCCAGCUGGACAGUGGGCUAAAUUUCAAUUUGCCCUCAUAUUCAAGCAGCCAGAUGUCAACAGACAGCAACCCAGGAAGUCCCCAGACCACACGACGUACCUCAGUUUGCAGGAUAAAGGUUGUUGAUGAUCUUUUGCCUGUAUUUACUGACAGCAGCAUCAUGAAUAUGACUUUAAAGAUGGACUUUGUCAAUGAAAAAGCUA
Long non-coding RNA from Fundulus heteroclitus (mummichog), 434 nucleotides. RefSeq lists it as uncharacterized. The record is from RefSeq and is a predicted model, not a curated record. NCBI's taxonomy places the organism in Eukaryota, Metazoa, Chordata, Actinopteri, Cyprinodontiformes, Fundulidae. The transcript is spliced from 3 exons.